ACAUACGACCAUAGGAAGUGGAGAACAGGGCUUCCCGUCCGCUCAGCCGUACUUAAGUCACUUGCCGGCCGGCUAGUAGUUGGGUGGGUGACCACCAGCGAAUCCCGGCUGUUGUAUGUU
Coccidioides immitis RMSCC 3703 is the source of this 120-nucleotide ribosomal RNA. The record is from Rfam. NCBI's taxonomy places the organism in Eukaryota, Fungi, Ascomycota, Eurotiomycetes, Onygenales, Onygenaceae.